GACGAACGCUGGCGGCGUGCUUAACACAUGCAAGUCGAACGGAAAGGCCCUGCUUUUGUGGGGUGCUCGAGUGGCGAACGGGUGAGUAACACGUGAGUAACCUGCCCUUGACUUUGGGAUAACUUCAGGAAACUGGGGCUAAUACCGGAUAGGAGCUCCUGCUGCAUGGUGGGGGUUGGAAAGUUUCGGCGGUUGGGGAUGGACUCGCGGCUUAUCAGCUUGUUGGUGGGGUAGUGGCUUACCAAGGCUUUGACGGGUAGCCGGCCUGAGAGGGUGACCGGCCAAAUUGGGAAUACGAUACGGCCAGACCCCAUAGGGGGGGAAGAGGGGGGAAUUUUGGACAAAGGGGGGAAGGCGUGUCGAACCACGCCGGGGGGGGGGAGGGGGCCUUGGGGGUGGAAACCGCGUUGCGCCGGGAAAAAAGGGGGGGUGAGGUAAGGGGAUAAAAAACACCCGCAAAACUAGGUC
RNAcentral lists this ribosomal RNA (468 nucleotides) under uncultured bacterium. RNAcentral describes it as "partial 16S ribosomal RNA". It matches the Rfam family "Bacterial small subunit ribosomal RNA", at positions 28 to 493 of the family's 1533-position model. The record is from RNAcentral.